This 207-nucleotide ribosomal RNA is filed under the name uncultured bacterium. Its description in RNAcentral is "partial 16S ribosomal RNA". It matches the Rfam family "Bacterial small subunit ribosomal RNA", at positions 568 to 774 of the family's 1533-position model. The record is from RNAcentral.
CGUGUAGGCGGUCCGGUAAGUCGGCUGUGAAAGUCCAGGGCUCAACCCUGGGAUGCCGGUCGAUACUGCCGGACUAGAGUUCGGAAGAGGCGAGCGGAAUUCCCGGUGUAGCGGUGAAAUGCGCAGAUAUCGGGAGGAACACCAAUGGCGAAGGCAGCUCGCUGGGACGUUACUGACGCUGAGACGCGAAAGCGUGGGGAGCAAACA